Molecule: transfer RNA, 76 nt
Filed under: Symmachiella macrocystis
Lineage: Bacteria; Pseudomonadati; Planctomycetota; Planctomycetia; Planctomycetales; Planctomycetaceae
Also listed under: 1 other name
Description: Planctomycetes bacterium CA54 tRNA-Met
Rfam family: tRNA
About the family: Transfer RNA (tRNA) molecules are approximately 80 nucleotides in length. Their secondary structure includes four short double-helical elements and three loops (D, anti-codon, and T loops). Further hydrogen bonds mediate the characteristic L-shaped molecular structure. tRNAs have two regions of fundamental functional importance: the anti-codon, which is responsible for specific mRNA codon recognition, and the 3' end, to which the tRNAs corresponding amino acid is attached (by aminoacyl-tRNA synthetases). tRNAs cope with the degeneracy of the genetic code in two manners: having more than one tRNA (with a specific anti-codon) for a particular amino acid; and 'wobble' base-pairing, i.e. permitting non-standard base-pairing at the 3rd anti-codon position.
Source: RNAcentral
UGGCGGUGUAGCUCAGUUGGUUAGAGCAGCGGAAUCAUAAUCCGCGUGUCGGGGGUUCGAGUCCCUCCACCGCUAU